AAAAAUGCCAACAGAUGGCUCUUCCUGCAUCCGCACAGCUGAUGAUUCCAAAGUUUGUUUGGUGGGAUACUCUUGAUGAUACAAAUCUGUAAAUUCAGCUCCACACUCACAGCAGAGAUUUUGAAUCUGUUUCAUUACCUAAUGUGUGGACCAUUUUCCUUUUCCUCUGUGAGUUAUGGCUUCUUGUGCAGCUUAUUUGCAGUUCUUGCUCAGCAAGAGAAGGGUUAUUACUGCUGCUGCUGUGUAGUUUUCUCAUUAAAAGAUAUAUGAAGACAGCAGAUAGGUCCAUGCUUCAAAAUAUUAGAUGAAAUACUUGAUCGACACAACGUACACUGGAACAAGAUUCCCCAUCUGGAAAUGGACACACAGAAGUAGCAAUCAUCAAUUACAACAGAAUUCUACAAAAAAAAAAGUCAGUUCUUUUACUCUAAAGGACACCCUUAUUCAGAAGAGCAGUUAUGCACAUACCAACAUUCUGUAGGAGAGAAUUAAUUAAAAAUAAAUACAUUUACUAACAAAUUAAUCA
This 526-nucleotide long non-coding RNA is filed under the name Coturnix japonica (Japanese quail). RNAcentral describes it as "lncRNA (ENSCJPG00005004392.1)". The record is from RNAcentral. Lineage: Eukaryota; Metazoa; Chordata; Aves; Galliformes; Phasianidae.